UAGGGAAUCUUCGGCAAUGGGGGCAACCCUGACCGAGCAACGCCGCGUGAGUGAAGAAGGUUUUCGGAUCGUAAAGCUCUGUUGUAAGUCAAGAACGAGUGUGAGAGUGGAAAGUUCACACUGUGACGGUAUCUUACCAGAAAGGGACGGCUAACUACGUGCCAGCAGCCGCGGUAAUACGUAGGUCCCGAGCGUUGUCCGGAUUUAUUGGGCGUAAAGCGAGCGCAGGCGGUUAGAUAAGUCUGAAGUUAAAGGCUGUGGCUUAACCAUAGUAUGCUUUGGAAACUGUUUAACUUGAGUGCAGAAGGGGAGAGUGGAAUUCCAUGUGUAGCGGUGAAAUGCGUAGAUAUAUGGAGGAACACCGGUGGCGAAAGCGGCUCUCUGGUCUGUAACUGACGCUGAGGCUCGAAAGCGUGGGGAGCAAACAGGAUUAGAUACCCUGGUAGUCCACGCCGUAAACGAUGAGUGCUAGGUGUUAGGCCCUUUCCGGGGCUUAGUGCCGCAGCUAACGCAUUAAGCACUCCGCCUGGGGAGUACGACCGCAAGGUUG
Molecule: ribosomal RNA, 550 nt
Filed under: uncultured bacterium
Lineage: Bacteria
Description: bacterial SSU rRNA
Rfam family: Bacterial small subunit ribosomal RNA
Source: RNAcentral